Molecule: long non-coding RNA, 5014 nt
Organism: Amphiprion ocellaris (clown anemonefish)
Lineage: Eukaryota; Metazoa; Chordata; Actinopteri; Pomacentridae
Exons: 8
Source: RefSeq, a predicted model, not a curated record
AGCAACCAAAGCAACACAAACAUUGACUACCAGAAGUUUGAAGCUGCACCCUAUUUUCAGAGACAAAACUACCAUUCGUCACUCAGAUAUGUUGACAGCACCAGACUCCCAGGGAACGACAGGAGAAAGGAGCCACAAUCAAAUAAAUCAAGACCCAUUCAACACUGAAUUUACCAAGACACUGACAAAAAGCAGCCCACACUUUGGGGCCUUGAGUCACCACUCAUUCUUCUCCCAGCACAACCCUCAUCCACAACGGGCGACACAUAUUCAAGGACUCAAUGGCAGGCCAAUUUGCAUGGUACGAGAUGACUGGUGUGUCACCUCAUCAUUAUUUCCUCAUCCACUUCUCAAGAGCCACGUCCUCAGGAAAUCACCCGGGCCCGCUCUUACCUUCCCACUCACUCAAAACCUCCAUGCAGUCAGCGGAAACAAUAAUAAAUCAGCACUGUUUUCAGAAGCCUGGAGGGAUGAACUUAAAGAACUUGUUGCAAAAGUCAAUCUGUCUUUUCGAGCACAAUUGGGAAAAAUGAGGACCAACCUGAGGAUGAAUUUGUGUGCCAAAAGACUCAGUAUUCAGCUGAUACUGGGAGAAUCAUCUCUCCAUCCAGCAAGUCUUACCUGCACAGAUCUCAUUCCCAGCACCUAAAGUAUCCUCAACCCUUCCAGGAUCAAGAACUCACGGUUUUGGAGCUGCUCUGUCAGAUCCUGCAGACAGACUCACUGUCCACAGUGUAGCAGUGGCUUCUGCUUGCAGGCCAAAGAGGUAAAACACGUCAUUCCACAUGGAGAGCCAAGUUAUAAAUACAACCAACUCUCACUUACAUUUGGAGUCUCCAGACUAAUGCUUUCUAUUGCAGGAGCCUUUCAAAGUCUGCUUCCACCCACAAAUGGCAUAAUAUAUGACACAUUACAAGCCAAUGGCAGUGAAUUUAUAUCAACUAGGCAUUUCUCAGAUGGUUGGCAAAUGGUCAGAAUGAGUUUGCUGCUCAGAUCUUGCCCUACUUUACAUUUAAAAAAAGACAUUUCUGUACACUGGCUUUGGGUUUUACAUGCUAAAUAUUUUUCUAAUAUCAAUUCUUUAAUGAAUACUGCAAUUUAAUUCCUUUUUAAGUUUCUAUCGGCAUAUAGCUUACUAAAGGUUAUUCAUCAGAUGUUUUGCAAACUGGCGUGGUUAAGGUUUUGCAUUAUACGGUCAAAAAAGAAUCAGAAUUUUUACUGUGUCACCUGCCGACUGCUGUAGAGAAUCUGAUGUUCACCCCAGUUAUGACAGACAAGUUAAUAAAACUAUGGACAAAUACCCAUAAUUACACUCUAAAUGCCCUAUACAUAUCAAUUCUUAAUGUUUAGUCAGUUUCAUUAAAUUAUUUGAACUCUUGAUUCAGUGUCUUGCAUCACUUGUGGCCAUGUGCCUGAAUUAUACCAUAAAGAAAAUAAUCAGACUGUUUUAUUUUUUACUUUGCCUCCUGCAGACCACUGAUAGUUAAUAAUAAUAGUAAAUAAUAAUAGAUAAUAGUUAAUAAUUUACAAAAGCAUCUAGAAAUACCCAUAACGCCAUUGUAAAUGUCCUCUGCAGACGGCUGCAAUCCAAACUGAAAUACUCAUUCUUAGAUAUUGUUAAAAAUAGAGUCUUAUCAAUACAUAUCUCUCUCAAAGUAUGAAAAUUGAGUAGUUGGUAGGUCGUGUCAACCAUAGCCCAGAGGCAAUGCUCUUAAAUCCAGCAAAAGAGGGACAUCUACUUUCUGCACAGCGCUGAUUAUUCACUACAGGGCAUUUAACAUGCGACUGAUUGUGUGCAAUACUUUUUUAGGUAAUGACUGAUCUUAUUGACGACAGAGAUCUCAGAAACUUGUCAAUCAGAUGUGGUACCAGUGGCAUUAUAGCUCAUAGUAAUGGAUCUCUCUUAUUAUAAUUCUUUGGCUUUUAAUUCACUUGGUGAGCCACGGCUGUAUAAUAUUGCCUUGAAUCGAUUAAAAAAAGCUGUGCACACUUUCUUCUUCUUCUUUUUGGUGCAUCUUGUGAAUAUGAACCUCAUCUGUGCUAAUUAUUGAUACUGAAAUUUUUUUUUAAUGAUGAAUGCGUUUAAGGACUCCAGUUAAAAAGGUUUUCUGUUGUGUAUUUAAUUACUGCAACUCAUAGAGCUCUCUGAGUGAACCACUGAAAGCAUAUAUUUUCCUGUAUUACUGUGAUAACUCUUCUGCUGGUGUUAUGUGAUUCAACACACCCUCAGAGAAGGACCUUGUGAUGGGGAUGCUCAGACGAGCUCUGGACGGCGUCGACCUCUCAGGCCGUCGUAACCAGUGAACCUUCCAGCAGCUCCAGGCUUUUCAUCCAGGUGCAUCUCCACCAGCGUACAGUCCAUCAUUUGACCAGCCGUGGAGAAAACCCUGGAGAACGAGCUCAUACAAAGCGAAUCCGAUUUCCGGCGAUGACAAACCAGAGAGGAUUGGAGAUGCAGAGGUCCUUGAAAUCCAUGCAGGACCUCAGGAUCAUCCUCGGGAUCCUGCACUUCAGAGUGCAUAAAGUCGUUUUGACUGUGCUGAUAACUGCAGUAUGAUAAUUUUGUUUAUUGCUCCCAUGAUCACAGGUUAUUCUUAGCAUGUUUGCGUUAUACCUCGAUAUUUCUGUGUGCACAUGCUGCUUUCAUCAGAGGACUUCACCAGAUUGCUUUUCAUUUGCACUUCAUUAACACCAUAUAUUGUAGCUGUAAUAGUGUUGCCCCAUGCUGCGGAUGAUGUUAUAUUAUCUAUCAGCUGUCUGACGUAGUCUGGCACCAUAUUAGGCAACGUUGUAUGAACUGUUGCUUGAUGUGAAUUAAAAUUUCAAAUUGGAUUUUUAAAAAUGAUUUUGUGCACCUAAACAUGAUCUAAUCGAACUAAAAAUGCCAAAAUCAAAGUAGAAAUGCAUAUUGCAUUAUAACAUUGUUGACUUUGUUUCCAGACAGAAAGUUAUAAGUUGCAAUGCAUUUAGCAACACAGUGUCACUUAGGAUGCUAAAUGGUGCACCUGGAAUAGCAAACCUACCUUGCUAAAUGCACAUAAAUCUGCAGCAGGACAGAUGAUCUUAUUUCCUUUGAAAAAUAUGAAGUCCAAAAGUAUAAUUAACAUGAUUUUAAGUAGAGACUUCUCUUGAGAAAUGUGAACUUGAAUUCAUGCAUAAAGCAUGGCACACAUUAGCAUAAUUCUGUAUGAUGGAGGAACCUUUUUCCUUUCCUUACUCUGUGUCCCUUCUGUUGUGGAUAAAAUGCUGAAUGUCUUCAGUAAUGCCUGUACAGUACAGGAGCACAGCUGUGAACAGAAGUUUACAUACACUCUGAAAGACAAUGUAGAUCAUGACAGCCUUGAGUUUCCCAUGACUCCUACAACUCUUAAUUUUCUAGAAUGGAAUGACUGAAACACACGCAUCACAAAAAGCAAUCGGGCAUUUUGGGGUUUUCACUGAUAUGGCUAAGUCUGCUGAGUCAAAAAUAUACAUACAGCAAUUCUAAUUUUGGAUUCAGUGUUCCUUUGCCCAUUUUGUUUUUACCUCAGUUUGUUAUACUUGCAAACAACUGAUUGCACAGUUGAUUUUGUAAUCUGAAACAUCUUUGAAAUGGCUCCAAGUGACUUUCCUCACUUGUUGAAGUCAAGAUUUGUUGUUUCAUAUCUGUACUCUGCUCCUUCGACUUUGAGUCUAUCAAAUGGGUUGUAAUUAAGUUGACUCGGGGAAGCAGCUGUAGUCAGUCAUAAUCACUCAUGAAAAUUUAAGAGGCCAUGGCACUUUCAAUUGAUUCCCACAGCUUUCUACAUCACUAGAACUGAUAAUUCAAGUAGCUGUAUGUAUAUUUUUGACCCAGCAGAUUUUGUCAUCGUUCCAGAAGACCUAUAAUAUAUCUUUGAAUGAACCAAAAUGUAUGAUUGUUAUUUGUGACAAAGAUGCAUGUGUUUCAAGGUCUUUACAAGUGUAUGUAAACUUUUGUUCACGAUUAUUUAUGACAUUGCAGAUCAGGUUACAUUCAGCCAGAUAUUAUCAAGAUUAGACUAGCCUCUUCAUGUAGCUGACUCAGAUUUCCCAGUCAGCACAUGAAUGGUCUAAUUACACAAUUCUACAGAACUGUAUCAUCACCCCAAACUGUCAAAAUAUAAAACACACUGACAGAAGUAAACAUAGUAAAUAAUUACCUGGUGAUGGCAUGGAAAAUCAGGUUUAAGAUGAUGACAGUCAGUUGCAUAUGAGAGCAAAUAAGUGGAGAGACAUGUAACAGCAACAAAGGAUGUAAAGUAAACCUAAGAGUCAGUUUCUUCUUCAUAUACACAGAUUAUGAUGAGUACUGUAGUUUCUACAGUGGGAGAUCAGGUAGUCAGAUACUUGAGUAAAUGCAGCAAUACUGCAAUGAAAAAAAAACAUGAUUACAAGUGAAGGUCUUGCAUUCAGCAUUCAUCAAUAUCAACAAAAUGCGCUUGAAGUAUCAAAAGUAAAGGCAUCUAUUAGGUGGAUAUCCAGUUUAUUUAAGUGGACUUGGAUUUGCUGACACGUUAAGGUUAAAGCAUAUUUUUACUUUUGCAGACCUGUUAUGCCACCAGCGGCUAUGCAGUUAACCCUGCUGUGGUCAUCUUGUACCACCACUUGAAGCUUGCUGCUUUCAGCUGCUAAUGGAAAGUUAAACACAGCAAGGCUGCACUUGGUAACUGGCUUGUUGAAUAUAGUCUUUUUUGUAUUAUGUUGGGUUCACUGCAGAAAACAUCUCAGCAACAGAAAGAUUAAAUAGACAAAGAAUGUCAAAGUAACCAGCUUCAGUGUCACACAGCUGCUUUGUGAUGCAACUGGGCUCCGCCUGAGAAGGACAAUGAAAUCAGGUCAAAAGGCUGAUAAUAUUUUAACUCAACUGGGAGGCAUGCUUGGAAUAUGAAUUAGUCACCCUCUUUGUGAACUGUGUGUGCUGUUAAGGUCUAAUCAGGUUGAAAUAAUUCCAUUUAUGUUAAUUCAUUCGCUUUGCAAAAUAUAUUGUAAUGUAAAUUGGCCAGAUAAAGAUCCA